This 254-nucleotide ribosomal RNA is filed under the name uncultured bacterium. RNAcentral's name for it is "partial 16S ribosomal RNA". It matches the Rfam family "Bacterial small subunit ribosomal RNA", at positions 524 to 776 of the family's 1533-position model. The record is from RNAcentral.
CACGUAGGGCGCAAGCGUUUGUCCGGAAUUAUUGGGCGUAAAGAGCUCGUAGGCGGUCUGUUGCGUCCGCUGUGAAAACUCGGGGCUUAACCCCGAGCCUGCAGUGGAUACGGGCAGACUAGAGGUAGGUAGGGGAGAAUGGAAUUCCCGGUGUAGCGGUGAAAUGCGCAGAUAUCGGGAGGAACACCGGUGGCGAAGGCGGUUCUCUGGGCCUUACCUGACGCUGAGGAGCGAAGGCCAGGGGAGCAAACGGG